Long non-coding RNA from Musca domestica (house fly), 594 nucleotides. RefSeq lists it as uncharacterized. The record is from RefSeq and is a predicted model, not a curated record. The transcript has 2 exons. NCBI's taxonomy places the organism in Eukaryota, Metazoa, Arthropoda, Insecta, Diptera, Muscidae.
UCGACUUAUUAAUUAUACCUUAGUCCAAAAUAUAAAAAAUCGAAAAUUUCUCCCUUAUAUCCCAAAUACGAAACAAUAAUUCAUUUUGGUAGCUGAUUUUUUUAGUCAAUUGGGUUUUCUGUGUAACAUAUUGACAGACGAUGGGGGCUACUAUUCGCAGAGCCCAAAAUUCAAUGUGGAAUGAAUAGCCAACUCAACUCAAAUCAAUGAAUAGUCACUAAUUGUUUUGACAAGGAAACUUUUUUAUAUUCUCAUAAAAAAGUUUCUUUGCUUUUUGUAAUUUUGGCCGAUGGUGUUUUCUUGUUAUUCUAUUUUGUGUCAGCUGUUUGAUUUUUGCAGCCCCACAGAAAAAUAUUAAACCAUGCAAAAUUCGAACAGCAAUGUGCAUCGUCUAUGUUGUGAAACUUGCUUCAGAUGCAGUCAGAAGUUCAUUGGUGCCGAUGACAAAUGUACCCCAUUAUAUGAGACAACGCUAAAUUUUUCGAUCCUAUGGUUAGAGAGAAGUAUAUCAGCGUAUGCUUACAAUUGAUAUGUUGUAUACUAUUUAUGAAAUUACUGGCUUUGGAAAAUAUGAAUGGGGCGAGUAUUAUACAA